Molecule: ribosomal RNA, 483 nt
Filed under: uncultured bacterium
Lineage: Bacteria
Description: partial 16S ribosomal RNA
Rfam family: Bacterial small subunit ribosomal RNA
Source: RNAcentral
AUUGAACGCUGGCGGCAGGCCUAACACAUGCAAGUCGAGCGGAUGAAGGGAGCUUGCUCCUGGAUUCAGCGGCGGACGGGUGAGUAAUGCCUAGGAAUCUGCCUGGUAGUGGGGGAUAACGUCCGGAAACGGGCGCUAAUACCGCAUACGUCCUGAGGGAGAAAGUGGGGGAUCUUCGGACCUCACGCUAUCAGAUGAGCCUAGGUCGGAUUAGCUAGUUGGUGGGGUAAAGGCCUACCAAGGCGACGAUCCGUAACUGGUCUGAGAGGAUGAUCAGUCACACGGGAACUGAGACACGGUCCAGACUCCUACGGGAGGCAGCAGUGGGGAAUAUUGGACAAUGGGCGAAAGCCUGAUCCAGCCAUGCCGCGUGUGUGAAGAAGGUCUUCGGAUUGUAAAGCACUUUAAGUUGGGAGGAAGGGCAGUAAGUUAAUACCUUGCUGUUUUGACGUUACCAACAGAAUAAGCACCGGCUAACUGCGU